GAAUUCGCCCUUAGAGUUUGAUCCUGGCUCAGGAUGAACGCUGGCGGCGUGCCUAACACAUGCAAGUCGAACGAAGCACUUAAGGGGAUCCUUCUGGUGAACCUUUUGUGACUGAGUGGCGGACGGGUGAGUAACGCGUGGGUAACCUGCCCUGUACAGGGGGAUAACAGUUAGAAAUGACUGCUAAUACCGCAUAAGCGCACGGAGUAGCAUUGCUCUGUGUGAAAAACUCCGGUGGUACAGGAUGGGCCCGCGUCUGAUUAGCUGGUUGGCGGGGUAAGGGCCCACCAAGGCGACGAUCAGUAGCCGGUCUGAGAGGAUGAACGGCCACAUUGGAACUGAGAAACGGUCCAAACUCCUACGGGAGGCAGCAGUGGGGAAUAUUGGGCAAUGGGCGAAAGCCUGACCCAGCAACGCCGCGUGAGUGAAGAAGGCCUUCGGGUUGUAAAGCUCUGUCCUUGGUGACGAAGGAAGUGACGGUAGCCAAGGAGGAAGCCCCGGCUAACUACGUGCCAGCAGCCGCGGUAAUACGUAGGGGGCGAGCGUUGUCCGGAAUGACUGGGCGUAAAGGGCGUGUAGGCGGCCUGAUAAGUAUGAAGUGAAAGUCCUGCUUUCAAGGUGGGAAUUGCUUUGUAGACUGUCGGGCUUGAGUGUGGAAGAGGUAAGUGGAAUUCCCAGUGUAGCGGUGAAAUGCGUAGAGAUUGGGAGGAACACCAGUGGCGAAGGCGACUUACUGGGCCGUAACUGACGCUGAGGCGCGAAAGCGUGGGGAGCAAACAGGAUUAGAUACCCUGGUAGUCCACGCUGUAAACGAUGAAUACU
RNAcentral lists this ribosomal RNA (822 nucleotides) under uncultured bacterium. Its description in RNAcentral is "bacterial SSU rRNA". It matches the Rfam family "Bacterial small subunit ribosomal RNA", at positions 1 to 817 of the family's 1533-position model. The record is from RNAcentral.